UCGCUACGCUCUGAGGGCUUGCUGAGCUUGCGAGGCCCUUGCUAUCGGAUGCUUUGACGCUGUCUCCGCCUCAUCCGCCUCACCUGCUCCCGCCUACUGCCGUCGCUCGACCUCGAAGUCCGGCACCGUCCUGGCAGUUGAGCGACAAGAUGGCCCGCUCUAGGAACGGCUCCCGCGCGAGACAGCCGGAUUGGCGCAGUCGCUGCAACCACAAACGACA
RNAcentral lists this unclassified non-coding RNA (220 nucleotides) under Rhodotorula toruloides. The record is from RNAcentral. Lineage: Eukaryota; Fungi; Basidiomycota; Microbotryomycetes; Sporidiobolales; Sporidiobolaceae.